This 790-nucleotide ribosomal RNA is filed under the name uncultured archaeon. RNAcentral describes it as "bacterial SSU rRNA". It matches the Rfam family "Archaeal small subunit ribosomal RNA", at positions 85 to 878 of the family's 1478-position model. The record is from RNAcentral.
ACUGCUCAGUAACACGUAGUCAACAUGCCCAGGGGACGUGGAUAACCUCGGGAAACUGAGGAUAAACCGCGAUAGGCCAAGAUUUCUGGAAUGAAUCAUGGUUUAAAUCUAUAUGGCCCCUGGAUUGGACUGCGGCCGAUCAGGCUGUUGGUGAGGUAAUGGCCCACCAAACCUGUAACCGGUACGGGCUCUGAGAGGAGGAGCCCGGAGAUGGGCACUUAGACAAGGGCCCAGGCCCUAUGGGGCGCCGCAGGCGCGAAACCUCUGCAAUAAGCGAAAGCUUGACAGGGUUACUCUGAGUGAUUUCCGCUAAGGAAGUCUUUUGGCACCUCUAAAAAUGGUGCAGAAUAAGGGGUGGGCAAGUCUGGUGUCAGCCGCCGCGGUAAUACCAGCACCCCGAGUGGUCGGGACGAUUAUUGGGCCUAAAACAUCCGUAGCCGGUCCUGCAAGUCCUCCGUUAAAUCCACCCGCUCAACGGUUGGGCCGCGGGGGAUACUACAGGGCUAGGAGGCGGGAGAGGCAAGCGGUACUCGAUGGGUGGGGGUAAAAUCCACUGAUCCAUUGAAGACCACCAGUGGCGAAGGCGGCUUGCCAGAACGCGCUCGACGGUGAGGGAUGAAAGCUGGGGGAGCAAACCGGAUUAGAUACCCGGGUAGUCCCAGCUGUAAACGAUGCAGACUCGGUGAUGGGCUGGCUUCGUGCCAACCCGGUGCCGCAGGGAAGCCGUUAAGUCUGCCGCCUGGGGAGUACGGUCGCAAGACUGAAACUUAAAGGAAUUGGCGGGGGAGCA